AAAAUGCUGAUGACCGUUCUUGUGUAUUUACUGAUUAAAUUUCUACUAUAUAUUUGAGGUGUUUCCCGGCAAAUGGAGGUUUUCAUAAAACAACAAGAACACACAAACAUAGCAAACAGAAGACGAUGGACAAAACGAGUGAAAGUUGAUGCUGCUAAACCGUUACAAAACACUAUUUUGGUGCGAUUCAGAGGUAUUCAAACUUGGUAUUUGGGUCUGUAGGCAGUUUAAAUAUCAAUGACUGAAAUGGCUCUCUCAACAUUACGACCGACUUAGGUGGUUAAGAAGGUUACAAAAGAUUAUACAGAAUUAUACUUAUUUGAAUUUGCUAAGGCUCGAUUAUAAUAGAACGAAAAGAACUGUGUAAACAUACCUGUUAUGGAGCAGAGUAGUCGUAGCGUGGGUGUAUUGCCGGAAUAUUGAUUUAUCAUACCCUGGCUAUGUGCCUUGGGUGCAGGCAUGCUCAAUGUGAUGGCCUUAUGGAAUUUGCGGCGUCGUGGCUCAACCGUUACAAUCGGCGAUACGGCCACACCGCGGCCAAGUAGUUUAGCAGUCAGAUCUGGAUCGACUGGUUGUGCCUAGAAUGAGCUUAUCGUUUUGUUCUUAUAUAUACAAAUGAUUAUUUCAACAUGAAAAUGGCCACUUAAGACUAAAGUACAAGUGGUGCAGAAGGAAGAACAAAGAAAGUAGAGCGUAUUGAAGCGACAAAGAUUUCCCAAUGCCAUGUACUUGAGCCUUGUGUGGACUUAUAAGCUCUUCUGCGAUGGCCUGCGGUUGCGAUGGGGCCCCGACUCCACCAGCAUACUCAGCACUGUGGGUCAUCAUGCGAUUGGAGUCAAUGCGUUCAUCACGUGUAACAUCGAUUGGCAAGGAGUCAUCGCCUAAGGAUUUCAUUUCAUCAACUGUCAAAUAACGGUAAGGCUGAUCGGAUAACAUAUUAUCUUCGCCUGGUGGAGGUGGAUGUGUUGUGUUCAAUAGCGGUGUCGGAGCGAACAGUGCAAAAAAAAAUUUAGGAAACAUAAAUAAAGAUAUGCAAAGAUUUCAUUUUAAUUUGAAUGGCAAACACACAUGCAUAAUCAAUAAUCUUUCGGAUUAAAUAUGAAAGCUGAUAACGCAUUGCAGUGAAAGGAAACUGAACUGAGGAUUACGUAUUGAAAACUGUUCACAUAUACAUACGUAUGUAGUUGUUUAUAAAAAAAUUUAAAUGUUUUCCUAUGUUGAGGUACUGAAGUGAUGAAAACAAAAGAACACAGCAGUGUAGAUGUCGAAUAACUACAUAGACUACAGAACGGAAUUUUGAUGGCAGACUUAUAAUUUGGAACGCUUCGUUGGACGCUCCAAUCAAAAUGGUACCCCACAAACGCGUUUCAUACUUUAUUUGCAGUUGGUUGGAUAACAGUUAAUCAAUAAUGUUAAUUAAUAGUGCUUCGAAUUCUUUUAAUACGGCUUUUCACAUUAUAACACGACGAGCAAGCGGUGGCAAAACAAAUUGUAUACUGCAAAGGAAAAUGAAGUCCAAUUUGUAAGUUCCGAAGAAGCAUGUGGAUAUCAUUAUGGCGAGAAAUUUCUGGUCGAGAGUACUUGUUUGUUAAGUAUUUAUGUUUUUUCGAGCAGAAUUUUUAAAACAAUUUCAAUCUAUUUUUAAAUACUAUUUUACAAAACCACUCAGAGAGCGAAAUACAAGUAGAUAUUUAUAUUCCCUUAUGCUCUGGGAUUUAAUGCGAUCAUUUGGUUGUGGAUCGUAGGGUGGAUUGCAGACAGAGUCGUUCGAACGAGCAUUUGUAGGUAUCUAAACAAAUUGUUUGGUGUUAUAUUUACAAACCUAAGGUAGAUUUGGAUCCUACGAGUACCUGCAAUGAGCACUUUUUAUUUUACAUAAUUAACGGACAAAGUCUCUUUCUUUACAAAUAACACCAAUCUGGAGAAUAAUCCGGUUUCAACAGGCAUACAUAUUAUAUAUGUAUAUACAUAUUUUUUUGUUUUAAUGUAAACAAUAGAUGUCUAAUGUGAGUUAAUUGUAAAAUUAAAUAAAUAUUAAUAUAAUAUUUUGAACCGUAACCAUGGUCACCAUAACUGAGUGUUUUGGAGAACUUCCAACUAGAAUUCAUAUGAUAAAUACCGAGCAAAGCGAAUUACAGCGCACUAAGAAGAGGGAGGAAUAAAAAAUGCGAAUUUCAAAAAUCACUUUAACAAAUUGUGUUCUGUUGAUCCAGUGGCUACAUAGUACAUACAUAUUCGUACGUUAAUAUAGCCUCAGCGUUAAGUAAUGCCUCACGCCCUUCAACCCAAAUACUUUAUUGCUUUAGCUGCCAAACUGGCGACAACGUUGAAAAUCCAACAUUUAAAUCUUGACUGCGCAACAUCUCUGUCUCAUUUCGGAAUUACGUCAUUCUUUGUACAUCUACACAUCUCUACACGCGGAUCUUCUAACGGACAGAGGGGAUGUUAUUUCAAUGCCUAAGAUCUAAAUACUGACAUGAGCACCUGAUUAACUGUAAAUAAGCCAUUAAGGAUGAGGUCUACUUUGCAUACAUACUCUGGAUAUUAACUACUUAAUCACCUCUCAAAAUAUACAGUCAUUAAGGCAUGAGACCACAAAGGAUCUAUUUUAAUGUUUAUGCCGAUACAGAUUCACAUACAUUACAUACUAAGGUGCGCUAAAUGUACAUAUAUCUAAGCUGUUGGGUUACCAUGUACUUACAGAGCUG
Non-coding RNA from Bactrocera oleae (olive fruit fly), 2708 nucleotides. Lineage: Eukaryota; Metazoa; Arthropoda; Insecta; Diptera; Tephritidae. The record is from RefSeq and is a predicted model, not a curated record.